GGGGAAUCUUAGACAAUGGGCGCAAGCCUGAUCUAGCCAUGCCGCGUGAGCGAUGAAGGCCUUAGGGUUGUAAAGCUCUUUCGUGGGGGAAGAUAAUGACUGUACCCCAAGAAGAAGCCCCGGCUAACUCCGUGCCAGCAGCCGCGGUAAUACGGAGGGGGCUAGCGUUGUUCGGAAUUACUGGGCGUAAAGCGCACGUAGGCGGACCGGAAAGUCAGAGGUGAAAUCCCAGGGCUCAACCUUGGAACUGCCUUUGAAACGACCGGUCUUGAGUUCGAGAGAGGUGAGUGGAAUUCCGAGUGUAGAGGUGAAAUUCGUAGAUAUUCGGAGGAACACCAGUGGCGAAGGCGGCUCACUGGCUGGAUACUGACGCUGAGGUGCGAAAGCGUGGGGAGCAAAC
Molecule: ribosomal RNA, 400 nt
Filed under: uncultured bacterium
Lineage: Bacteria
Description: bacterial SSU rRNA
Rfam family: Bacterial small subunit ribosomal RNA
Source: RNAcentral